This 217-nucleotide long non-coding RNA is filed under the name Elaeis guineensis (African oil palm). RNAcentral's name for it is "long non-coding RNA (EGUI_LNC000168)". Lineage: Eukaryota; Viridiplantae; Streptophyta; Magnoliopsida; Arecales; Arecaceae. The record is from RNAcentral.
GGACCGAAAUCUGGCAGUUGAAAUUUUUUGCUUUCCCCAAGGGAAAUUGCAGAUUUGCAAACUUUCUACCCAGCAUAUACCAUAUACCAUUAUAUGUAUGGACGGACGCUUUGGUAUGUUAGGCAUUUGGCUUGCUUUGCCGCUGAUAGUGGCCAACAGCAGUGGCGCUCUACCUAAGCUACUAAAAUUUGAUUUGGUGAACCCUACUCGUCAUGGC